UUCUGGCUCAGGAUGAACGCUGGCGGCGUGCCUAACACAUGCAAGUCGAACGAAGCAUAUCGGACGGAGAUUCGUCGAAGACUGGUAUGACUUAGUGGCGGACGGGUGAGUAAUGUAUGAGCAACCUGCCUUUCAGAGGGGGACAACAGUUGGAAACGACUGCUAAUACCGCGUAAUGUAAUGAAGGGGCAUCCCUUUAUUACCAAAGGAGCAAUCCGCUGAAAGAUGGGCUCAUAUCUGAUUAGCUUGUUGGCGGGGUAACGGCCCACCAAGGCGACGAUCAGUAGCCGGACUGAGAGGUUGAACGGCCACAUUGGGACUGAGAUACGGCCCAGACUCCUACGGGAGGCAGCAGUGGGGAAUAUUGGGCAAUGGGCGAAAGCCUGACCCAGCAACGCCGCGUGAAGGAAGAAGGUCUUCGGAUUGUAAACUUCUUUUAUGAGGGACGAAGGGCGUGACGGUACCUCAUGAAUAAGCCACGGCUAACUACGUGCCAGCCGCAGC
Molecule: ribosomal RNA, 504 nt
Filed under: uncultured bacterium
Lineage: Bacteria
Description: bacterial SSU rRNA
Rfam family: Bacterial small subunit ribosomal RNA
Source: RNAcentral